Molecule: ribosomal RNA, 373 nt
Filed under: uncultured bacterium
Lineage: Bacteria
Description: bacterial SSU rRNA
Rfam family: Bacterial small subunit ribosomal RNA
Source: RNAcentral
AUACGGAGGAUCCGAGCGUUAUCCGGAUUUAUUGGGUUUAAAGGGUGCGUAGGCGGCUUUUUAAGUCAGGGGUGAAAUACACCGGCUCAACCGGUGCAGUGCCUUUGAUACUGAGGAGCUUGAAUGCCGCUGGAGACGGCGGAACGGGACAAGUAGCGGUGAAAUGCAUAGAUAUGUCCCAGAACACCGAUCGCGAAGGCAGCUGUCUAAACGGUUAUUGACGCUGAUGCACGAAAGCGUGGGGAUCGAACAGGAUUAGAUACCCUGGUAGUCCACGCCCUAAACGAUGAUGACUCGAUGUUUGCGGUACACAGUAAGCGUCCAAGCGAAAGCGUUAAGUCAUCCACCUGGGGAGUACGCCCGCAAGGGUGAA